CGUUAUACAACAUGGUUCAAGUUAAGAUAAUUAGCUAAAAAGAUGGUUAUUAUUUAAGUUUUUUGUGAGUAGAGCUACGUAUAUAUGGGUACAAUCUAUAAUAGCGUUAGGAAAUCUUAUAGCUUGCAAGUGUUUAAAUAUAAGAAGCCAUGUAAUUUAAAUUAUGAACUGGGAUUAGAUACCCCAUUACUUUUUUAUUUAAAAUUUAUUUAUGCUUGGGAACUACGAACUUUCAUUUAAAACUCAAAGAACUUGGCGGUAUUUCAAGUCCUUUUAGGGGAACCUGUUUUGUAAUCGAUAUUCCACGUAAAAUCUGACCUUUUUUGGUAAAAUUAUCAGCCUGUAUACCGCCGUUAUCAGUUUAUUUUUAAAAAGAUAGUAAUAAACGUAAUUAAUAUAUAUAUAUAAGUAAGUUUGGUUAUGAUUUCAGGUCAAGGUGCAGCCUAUAAAAAGGACGAUAAUGGGUUACAAUUGUUAUUUUCUUUAAAAUGGAUUAAUAAAUUAUAUUUUAUUAAGAAAAAGGACUUAAUAGUAAGAUUAUAAUAAUAAGAUAAUUUUGAAUAUUAGGCUAUGAAAAUGUGUACAAAUCGCCCGUCGCUCUCGUUGAGAAUGAGAUAAGUCGA
Molecule: ribosomal RNA, 623 nt
Filed under: Ennucula decipiens
Lineage: Eukaryota; Metazoa; Mollusca; Bivalvia; Nuculida; Nuculidae
Description: partial 12S ribosomal RNA
Source: RNAcentral